This 254-nucleotide ribosomal RNA is filed under the name uncultured bacterium. Its description in RNAcentral is "partial 16S ribosomal RNA". It matches the Rfam family "Bacterial small subunit ribosomal RNA", at positions 524 to 776 of the family's 1533-position model. The record is from RNAcentral.
CACGUAGGGCGCGAGCGUUGUCCGGAAUUACUGGGCGUAAAGGGCGCGUAGGCGGCCUGCUAAGUCGAACGUGAAAUCCCCUGGGCUCAACCCAGGAACUGCGUCCGAUACUGGUUGGCUUGAAUCCGGGAGAGGGAUGUGGAAUUCCAGGUGUAGCGGUGAAAUGCGUAGAUAUCUGGAGGAACACCGGUGGCGAAGGCGACAUCCUGGACCGGUAUUGACGCUGAGGCGCGAAAGCCAGGGGAGCAAACGGG